This 93-nucleotide transfer RNA is filed under the name Clerodendranthus spicatus. RNAcentral describes it as "tRNA-Ser". Lineage: Eukaryota; Viridiplantae; Streptophyta; Magnoliopsida; Lamiales; Lamiaceae. The record is from RNAcentral.
CCAAUAGAAACAAAUCUAUUCAAUGAACAAAAAGGAGAGAGAGGGAUUCGAACCCUCGAUAGUUCUUUGUUCAAAACUAUACCGGUUUUCAAG